UGGGGGAGGCGGGAUCUUGGGCUGUGUCCCGGCCCUCAGUGCUCCCCGGCCUGUGCUGUUGGAUUCGCGCUCCUGGCGGCACAGCCACCU
This 90-nucleotide microRNA precursor is filed under the name Canis lupus familiaris (dog). Its description in RNAcentral is "mir-8799 microRNA precursor family". It matches the Rfam family "mir-8799 microRNA precursor family". RNAcentral also lists the same sequence under 1 other name. Lineage: Eukaryota; Metazoa; Chordata; Mammalia; Carnivora; Canidae. The record is from Rfam by way of RNAcentral.